RNAcentral lists this ribosomal RNA (497 nucleotides) under uncultured bacterium. Its description in RNAcentral is "partial 16S ribosomal RNA". It matches the Rfam family "Bacterial small subunit ribosomal RNA", at positions 28 to 507 of the family's 1533-position model. The record is from RNAcentral.
GAUGAACGCUGGCGGCGUGCCUAAUACAUGCAAGUCGAGCGAACGGACGAGAAGCUUGCUUCUCUGAUGUUAGCGGCGGACGGGUGAGUAACACGUGGAUAACCUACCUAUAAGACUGGGAUAACUUCGGGAAACCGGAGCUAAUACCGGAUAAUAUUUUGAACCGCAUGGUUCAAAAGUGAAAGACGGUCUUUCUGUCACUUAUAGAUGGAUCCGCGCUGCAUUAGCUAGUUGGUAAGGUAACGGCUUACCAAGGCAACGAUGCAUAGCCGACCUGAGAGGGUGAUCGGCCACACUGGAACUGAGACACGGUCCAGACUCCUACGGGAGGCAGCAGUAGGGAAUCUUCCGCAAUGGGCGAAAGCCUGACGGAGCAACGCCGCGUGAGUGAUGAAGGUCUUCGGAUCGUAAAACUCUGUUAUUAGGGAAGAACAUAUGUGUAAGUAACUGUGCACAUCUUGACGGUAUCUAAUCAGAAAGCCACGGCUAACUACGUG